This 564-nucleotide long non-coding RNA is filed under the name Homo sapiens (human). RNAcentral describes it as "HSALNT0367781". The record is from RNAcentral. Lineage: Eukaryota; Metazoa; Chordata; Mammalia; Primates; Hominidae.
UGCACACCUUGUGGGACCUUGUGAUCGUCUUUCUAACUUAGACAACUGGCAAGAUAAAAAUGAACAUGAAAUGUUGAGAACAACCACCAAGAAAAGGCUAUAACCAUUGUUCACUGUCUUUCCUUUCAGCACAAUAAAAUAAAAGGAGAUUCCAUAAAAUAAUUUCACUUUGAUACCAUGCAUUGUGGGCAACCUCAUUCUGGCAUUUUCAUUCUGUGCCUCAUGUUGACAUUAUCGACAUGAGGGAGGGAGAGAGCUAUCUUCUUAAGGAAUGCUCACUAAAUAUUUGAAAUGAACAGUGAUGAGAUCAAGCAUUCAGCAACAGAAUUCAGCAUAGAAAAGCAGCUAUAGCACCAGUCCUGAAGUUAAUCAACCCUGGAUCCAACUCCUACUCCACUACUUAUUUGCUGUGUGACAAUAGAAAAGUUACUGAACUGUGAACUUCAUUUGUAAAAUGCAGAUACUAAUUCUUACCCUCUACCAUUUCUGGAAUAUCAAGUAAAAUUUGUAAUAGAACACUUGUACAUUGUAGAUAGUUAAUGAAUGCUUCUUGAAUGAAUAAAG